Molecule: long non-coding RNA, 502 nt
Organism: Xiphias gladius (swordfish)
Lineage: Eukaryota; Metazoa; Chordata; Actinopteri; Istiophoriformes; Xiphiidae
Exons: 3
Source: RefSeq, a predicted model, not a curated record
UGUUAACUUCGGCCUUAAAAAAAAGAUUGCAGACUUAUUGAAGAGCUGGUUUGAGAAAGGAGUACCAAUCCCUCUUCCUGAAGGUGUGGGCUUCACUCAGGGAAAGAUCAGCUACUAUAAUGGCUUCAUGGUGGUCGGAGGAAACCUGAACUUCGCUCUAGCUGGGAAGAGGGAGAUCUUGAGCAGGUUCAGCGGAUAAAUGAACAGAGUUCCACAUGUGAACGCCCAGCUGGACGAGAAUCUCUCGGCUCUUCUGAAAAGUUUUUUAUGAUGCAGACGUCGUUGUUAUUCAGUCAGACCAAGGCUAAGAUGAUUAAAGUCAACGAACCCCAUUAAAGACAGAAACAGCAGCUCAGUGGUGAUCCUGGGUUUUUCUUCCUCGCUCCACAUUCAGCUGACAGUUUUAGAUUUCAGUCUCUUGAAGUUGUGACAAACGUACCAGUACCACGAUGUGAAACUACUGACCGUUCUACCACAGCUUUUUACAUUCUGAUGGCUCGUU